GUAGGAGUUCAGUCCUCUCCACCAGUUUUCUGAAGGAAGGCCUUUUGAGUGGAUCGUGGCUCCAGCAGGACAGCAUCAUGUCAUACCUACAGGAGAAACAGAAAGAGAGCAAACCAAAAAAAAAAAGGGAAAAGUAAAGGAUCAAAGGACGAGGGGGAGCAGCAGGAGGGAGAGACAGACUGACAGACAGACUCACGUUUCCUCGGAGCACAUAGCUGGCGUCGGUGGUGAUGUCCCGAGCCAAGCCGAAGUCACAGAUCUUCGCCACCCUGCCGCGGUGGGAGCCUGGUUCAAAACCAUCCGAGGGAAGUUUGGCUCUCGAUGCAAACCGAGGGUCAUUUGAACAAGCAGAAGAUUUCAAACUAAACCCGAGGCUGUUGUGUGACUAAACACACAAAGCUUCCAUGGCUGCAUGGGUAGCAGCUAGAUGUCAGGGUGCGUUUCCCUCAUCUUUUUAUUUUCUUCUUCUUUUUUUUUUUCUUGCCUGGCAACACGCACAACCGAAUCCCUUUGAAUUUGGCUGGAAUAAAUAAUUGAACGCGCACACACACACACACACACACACACACACACACACAGACACACACACCUGUUGCCCGCUGCUGCUGGGAGAGGCCCCGCAUCGACAAGCAGAGGUUAUGCAAAUGAGGCCGGAUACGACCUGUGUGGAUGUGAGGAGCUGACGAGGCUGAACCAUUAAGCAACUCUUUGAGAAAACGUCAACCACGUUUCCAGAAAACAAUGUGGGGACAGUCUAAAGACGAAACACGCACCGGGAGCCGCGCUUAAACAUGCGCAAUGCUAUAUAUGCUGUUUUGUUUUUUUCCUUCUUAGUCUUCUUGCUCCAAAAACAAAAGGAGCCGAACUUAUAUAUUUUAAUAUCAGGAGCGCAGUCCGUGCGUAAAAAUUAAAGAAAUAAAUAAUCAGCGGAAUAAUCAAAUGAUAAUGAGAGUAGUCUGUUACAACAGUAUGGAGAAUAAAGUCCAAAUUGAGGCGCACAAGUUGUAAUUAAAA
Mugil cephalus (flathead mullet) is the source of this 1014-nucleotide long non-coding RNA. RefSeq lists it as uncharacterized. NCBI's taxonomy places the organism in Eukaryota, Metazoa, Chordata, Actinopteri, Mugiliformes, Mugilidae. The transcript has 3 exons. The record is from RefSeq and is a predicted model, not a curated record.